GAUGAACGCUAGCUAUAGGCUUAACACAUGCAAGUCGAGGGGAAACGGCAUUAUGUGCUUGCACAUUUUGGACGUCGACCGGCGCACGGGUGAGUAUCGCGUAUCCAACCUGCCCUUUACUUGGGGAUACCCCGUUGAAAGACGGCCUAAUACCCGAUGUAAUUCAUUGAUGGCAUCAGAUAUGAAUAAAAGAUUUAUCGGUAAAGGAUGGGGAUGCGUCUGAUUAGCUUGUUGGUGAGGUAACGGCUCACCAAGGCGACGAUCAGUAGGGGUUCUGAGAGGAAGGUCCCCCACAUUGGAACUGAGACACGGUCCAAACUCCUACGGGAGGCAGCAGUGAGGAAUAUUGGUCAAGGGGCGCAAGCCUGAACCAGCCAAGUAGCGUGCAGGAAGACGGCCCUAUGGGUUGUAAACUGCUUUUAUACGAGAAUAAUUUGAUGCACGUGUGCGUUAUUGCAUGUAUCGUAUGAAUAAGGACCGGCUAAUUCCGUG
Molecule: ribosomal RNA, 492 nt
Filed under: uncultured bacterium
Lineage: Bacteria
Description: partial 16S ribosomal RNA
Rfam family: Bacterial small subunit ribosomal RNA
Source: RNAcentral